This is a long non-coding RNA of Mustela erminea (ermine), 618 nucleotides long. RefSeq lists it as uncharacterized. The transcript has 4 exons. Lineage: Eukaryota; Metazoa; Chordata; Mammalia; Carnivora; Mustelidae. The record is from RefSeq and is a predicted model, not a curated record.
UCUCACGUCCUUGUAAAUGCCCGCCUGCAUCCAUGCCCUGUGUCUGGGUGCUUCCAGACGGGCUCGCUGAGGUGCUGGGUUGUCAAAGGUCGCCACGGUGAAAGCAGCAGCCCCAGAUCGAGCCCUCGCGGGUCUCAGAGCCCGUGGAGACACGGAGAGGAACUGUCACCCAGCACGCACGCCCUCAGGACACUGACUCUCUUCUCCCUUCUCCCCUCCUCUGCUCCGGAUCUUCUCCGGUGACCGCGCCACCACCCCUCAAUGGAAGGAGAAGCGGAGUUGACCUGAGAGGCUCCCUGUUUGCACCAAACCACUGAAUGCUCACCUCAGGGCAGGUUUGAAAAUUGACUAAAAAUGAUGCCAGGAUGCUGUCGGCUCUCUCCCCCACUCCACCUUCUCCCGCGGGCCACUGGCAUCCCCAGAACUGACGGCAGAAUCAAGCACAUUCAUCCCCACGCCACGUGUGAACUGAAGAAAUUUGCCUUCCCUGAUCUGGUCUCUGUCUCGAGUCUUUAUCACAAUCCCGAGAACUCUCCCUUCGCUCUAAACCUCCCCUGAUGCUGUGUGGACAUGGAAGUUCUGCCUGGGAUGUGUCUGACACUGCCACAUGGGAAUUAC